UUACGGGAGGCAGCAGUGGGGAAUAUUGGACAAUGGGCGAAAGCCUGAUCCAGCAAUGCCGCGUGAGUGAAGAAGGCCUUCGGGUUGUAAAGCUCUUUUACCCGGGAUGAUAAUGACCGUACCGGGAGAAUAAGCCCCGGCUAACUCCGUGCCAGCAGCCGCGGUAAUACGGAGGGGGCUAGCGUUGUUCGGAAUUACUGGGCGUAAAGCGUGCGUAGGCGGCUUUGUAAGUCAGAGGUGAAAGCCUGGAGCUCAACUCCAGAACUGCCUUUGAGACUGCAAGGCUUGAACACGGGAGAGGUGAGUGGAAUUCCGAGUGUAGAGGUGAAAUUCGUAGAUAUUCGGAAGAACACCAGUGGCGAAGGCGGCUCACUGGACCGUUGUUGACGCUGAGGCACGAAAGCGUGGGGAGCAAACAGGAUUAGAUACCCCGGU
This 435-nucleotide ribosomal RNA is filed under the name uncultured bacterium. RNAcentral describes it as "bacterial SSU rRNA". It matches the Rfam family "Bacterial small subunit ribosomal RNA", at positions 339 to 791 of the family's 1533-position model. The record is from RNAcentral.